CUAGUAACGGCGAGUGAAGCGGCAACAGCUCAAAUUUGAAAUCUGGCUUCGGCCCGAGUUGUAAUUUGCAGAGGAUGUUUCUGGCGCGGUGCCUUCCGAGUUCCCUGGAACGGGACGCCACAGAGGGUGAGAGCCCCGUAUGGUUGGACACCAAGCCUGUGUGAAACUCCUUCGACGAGUCGAGUAGUUUGGGAAUGCUGCUCAAAAUGGGAGGUAAAUCUCUUCUAAAGCUAAAUACCGGCCAGAGACCGAUAGCGCACAAGUAGAGUGAUCGAAAGAUGAAAAGCACCUUGAAAAGGGGGUUAAACAGUACGUGAAAUUGUUGAAAGGGAAGCACUUGUGACCAGACUUGUGCCGGGCGGUUCAUCCGGGGUUCUCCCCGGUGCACUCCGCCCGGUAUAGGCCAGCAUCGGUUCUUUCUGGGGGAUAAGAACGGUGGGAACGUGGCCCUCCCUCGGGAGGGUGUUAUAGCCCGCCGUACGAUACCCUGGAGGGGACCGAGGUUCGCGCUCCGCAAGGAUGCUGGCGUAAUGGUCACCAGUGACCCGUCUUGAAACACGGACCAAGGAGUCGUCCAUUAGAGCGAGCGUUUGGGUGUCAAACCCGCACGCGUAAUGAAAGUGAAAUUAGGUGAGAGCUUCGGCGCAUCAUCGACCGAUCCUGAUGUUCUCGGAUGGAUUUGAGUAAGAGUUUUAACGGACGGACCCGAAAGACAGUGAACUAUGCUUGUAUAGGGUGAAGCCAGAGGAAACUCUGGUGGAGGCUCGCAGCGGUUCUGACGUGCAAAUCGAUCGUCAAAUAUGAGCAUGGGGGCGAAAGACUAAUCGAA
This 829-nucleotide ribosomal RNA is filed under the name Dendrostoma parasiticum. RNAcentral's name for it is "partial large subunit ribosomal RNA". It matches the Rfam family "Eukaryotic large subunit ribosomal RNA", at positions 80 to 939 of the family's 3401-position model. Lineage: Eukaryota; Fungi; Ascomycota; Sordariomycetes; Diaporthales; Erythrogloeaceae. The record is from RNAcentral.